AAUCUGUGCAUUGGACAUUUUCGCAGCAAGUCCUUAAAUCUUUCUCAUGCCUCGUACAAGCUCUCAUCUUCUAACUAUUUAAAGAAAGUGAGGUCGUUCCAAAGUUU
Small nucleolar RNA from Hibiscus syriacus, 107 nucleotides. The record is from RefSeq and is a predicted model, not a curated record. NCBI's taxonomy places the organism in Eukaryota, Viridiplantae, Streptophyta, Magnoliopsida, Malvales, Malvaceae.